Molecule: ribosomal RNA, 301 nt
Filed under: uncultured bacterium
Lineage: Bacteria
Description: partial 16S ribosomal RNA
Rfam family: Bacterial small subunit ribosomal RNA
Source: RNAcentral
CAGCAGCCGCGGGAAUACGUAGGUGGCAAGCGUUGUCCGGAAUUAUUGGGCGUAAAGGGCUCGCAGGCGGUUUCUUAAGUCUGAUGUGAAAGCCCCCGGCUCAACCGGGGAGGGUCAUUGGAAACUAGGAAACUUGAGUGCAGAAGAGGAGAGUGGAAUUCCACGUGUAGCGGUGAAAUGCGUAGAUCUCGAGAGGAACACCAAUGGCGAGGGCAGCUUCUUGGUCCAUUCCUGACGUUCAUACACGAAAGCGUGGGGAGCAAACAGGAUUAGAUACCCGCGUAGUCCCUGUCUCUUAUAC